Haliaeetus leucocephalus (bald eagle) is the source of this 1802-nucleotide RNA transcript. It is a transcript of the gene named translocase of inner mitochondrial membrane 9 homolog (yeast), with no coding region annotated. The transcript is spliced from 6 exons. NCBI's taxonomy places the organism in Eukaryota, Metazoa, Chordata, Aves, Accipitriformes, Accipitridae. The record is from RefSeq and is a predicted model, not a curated record.
AACUGUCCGUUUUCGGGUGUUUUCUCGCUGCCCGGGGCGUCUCGUCCUCGGUUCGGGGUGGAGGGGAAAGGGCAGCGCUCGUGUAGCCGCACCGGCGUGUUGGGCUGGGGCUUGGCUGAGCGGGCGUCUCCUUAGGUAGAGAAACUCAAGGUGCCCUUGAAAGCAAGAACCGAAGGAUGGAGUUAAAAAAAAAAAAAGAAAAAUCAAGGUGAAAUUAUCUUAUCUCAGCUCAGGAUUUGAUCUGACUGGGUCAGAAGUAUCAGCCAGGCCUAAUCUAACUUAAAUAGGAGAGCGCUUAUGGAAAAACACGUAUUUUCUCCCAGGACAGACACCCUUGUGCCUUAAGCUCGCUCUGAUUUCAGACUUACUGUGUUAACUCGCCUUUGGCGUUCGGAGACUUCUUCUACCAUUGACCUUUUUCUCUUCAGACCAGGGUCUAGCCCACAAGUACACGAUCAUCAGUUAUAACAAUCUGUGCACCAGGUACAUCUCAUUAUCCACCCAUCUCCUGACCAGCCCCUCUCAUCUUGCCACGUGCCUCUGAAGGCUGACCGUAGUGUGCGGAGCGAGAAGAAAACCUUCCUGUAACCGCACAACAAGCACCAGUUUGAAGGAAAGCGGCCGGACCCGCUCUGGCUGUGGGGGAGAGCUGGGCUCUCUGCCUUCCCGGCAGGAGGGGACGCAGCAGGGCCGUCACCGGUGCCUUGCUGGGCUGGUGCAGGAGACGGAGGAAUAGGUGACUGAAUAGGCGGUAGAAUAUGGCUGGACAAAUAUCAGAAUCUGAUCAGAUCAAGCAGUUCAAGGAGUUUCUUGGAACAUACAAUAAACUUACAGAAAACUGCUUCCUGGAUUGCAUAAAGGAUUUCACUAGCCGAGAGGUUAAACCAGAAGAGAUGACUUGCUCAGACCACUGCCUACAGAAGUAUUUAAAAAUGACACAAAGGAUCUCCAUGAGAUUUCAGGAGUACCAUAUUCAGCAGAACGAAGCUCUGGCAGCUAAAGCAGGACUGCUUGGCCAGCCUCGUUAGACAAGAGCACUCUGUUCAGACUUUACAAGCAGUGCCAGCGUUCAUUGGGCAAGAACACAUUCUGGAUUUUCUACUGUUGGCAUGUAUGUCUGGCAACUCAGAAGAGACUUCUGGAUGCUGUUCAGACAGUGGAAACCAUGAAGGGUUAAAAAAGAAGUUAGUCAUAAUGGAUGGGCAAUGGAGUCUGUUUCUGAGGUCCUUUUCACUCUACAAUGGAGUAAUAUUGAUACAAACUUUUCCAGGGCCCACAGACUGGGAACCCCAGGGGUCCUCCAAACCCAGCUUCCUUGCCUGAUGCAAGCAUGAUGCGCUCCAAGCACUGAGCUUGAUGGCAGUUUUCUCCUUUAAUUGUGUGGAUGCCAAUUGUGUGAAUGCCAACAGAAAGUACAAGAUCCUGCCCUUCCUAGGAGAUAGAACUGGGGACCCUCUUCCCCUCUUUCUCUGCCCGAGGAUGUGUUGAAUUUCUGUGCGUGCUGCUGCCCCGACACCUGCCAGGAACUCUCUUUCGGGUCAUGGCUGAGGGAAGAGGGCUUCAAGCCUCCUUUGCAGCGAGGCACACUCUGACCACCUCAUCGGUAGGAAAGGGGUGUCAGCCGCCUCUCCUGCCGUGCUUUUGCGUGGGUCCUUGCUUACAUCUCCGGGAGAAAGUCCCUCAGCGCCCCGUGGAAGCCAUGGAUCCCCCAGGGACGGCGGCGGGACCUGAGGAGAAGAGCUGCAGGACUUCAGCCCUGCCACCUUCUCCCCCGGGGCCCUCCGGCUCUUCCAGCCCUUCCC